UACGUAGGUGGCAAGCGUUGUCCGGAAUUAUUGGGCGUAAAGCGCGCGCAGGCGGUCCUUUAAGUCUGAUGUGAAAGCCCACGGCUCAACCGUGGAGGGUCAUUGGAAACUGGGGGACUUGAGUGCAGAAGAGGAAAGCGGAAUUCCACGUGUAGCGGUGAAAUGCGUAGAGAUGUGGAGGAACACCAGUGGCGAAGGCGGUUACCUGGAGCUUUGCUGACGCUGAUGCGCGAAAGCGUGGGGAGCGAUCCGG
This 253-nucleotide ribosomal RNA is filed under the name uncultured bacterium. RNAcentral's name for it is "partial 16S ribosomal RNA". It matches the Rfam family "Bacterial small subunit ribosomal RNA", at positions 524 to 776 of the family's 1533-position model. The record is from RNAcentral.